This 448-nucleotide ribosomal RNA is filed under the name uncultured bacterium. RNAcentral describes it as "bacterial SSU rRNA". It matches the Rfam family "Bacterial small subunit ribosomal RNA", at positions 355 to 796 of the family's 1533-position model. The record is from RNAcentral.
UCGAGAAUUUUUCUCAAUGGGGGAAACCCUGAAGGAGCGACGCCGCGUGGAGGAUGAAGGUCUUCGGGUUGUAAACUCCUGUCAUUUGGGAACAAGUCGUACGUAGUUACUACACGUGCGUUGAUAGUACCAGAAGAGGAAGGGACGGCUAACUCUGUGCCAGCAGCCGCGGUAAUACAGAGGUCCCAAGCGUUGUUCGGAUUCAUUGGGCGUAAAGGGUGCGUAGGUGGCGCCAUAAGUCAGGUGUGAAAUCUCGGGGCUUAACUCCGAAACUGCAUUUGAUACUGUGGUGCUUGAGGACUGGAGAGGAGACUGGAAUUUACGGUGUAGCAGUGAAAUGCGUAGAGAUCGUAAGGAAGACCAGUGGCGAAGGCGGGUCUCUGGACAGUUCCUGACACUGAGGCACGAAGGCCAGGGGAGCAAACGGGAUUAGAUACCCCCGUAGUCC